CGCCUGGAUCCCGGACACCGUCAGACCCAAACUCCUGAUGGACUCCGGCCCUCUGAUCUGCUUCUCAGCAUCGAACACCCAGUAGUUCUCACCUGCCGAGAGAGAUGGUGAACAAUGGACGCCAUUUAACUCUUGUUGGAAAAUGUCAAACAAAGGUUUCUAUCCUGGUUACAGACUUUCGGAAAUCAGGGCAGCAAUUCAGAGGUCUGGUGUUGUGCUCCUAGAAGGCCGUUUGCCCGUUUGGAAAAACAAUUGCCCAAUCAGAGCUUUGUAUGCAGGAUUAAGAAUGGGAAUGUCAUCUUCCUACAUUGCUAGCUAGCUACAUCCAUGAAAACUAAUCAUCAAUAAAAUGAUUUAAUCGUG
Long non-coding RNA from Siniperca chuatsi (mandarin fish), 363 nucleotides. RefSeq lists it as uncharacterized. The transcript is spliced from 2 exons. The record is from RefSeq and is a predicted model, not a curated record. NCBI's taxonomy places the organism in Eukaryota, Metazoa, Chordata, Actinopteri, Centrarchiformes, Sinipercidae.